CCUACGGGAGGCAGCAGUGGGGGAUAUUGCACAAUGGGGGAAACCCUGAUGCAGCGACGCCGCGUGGGUGAAGAAGCGCCUCGGCGCGUAAAGCCCUGUCAGCAGGGAAGAAAAUGACGGUACCUGAAGAAGAAGCCCCGGCUAACUACGUGCCAGCAGCCGCGGUAAUACGUAGGGGGCAAGCGUUAUCCGGAUUUACUGGGUGUAAAGGGGGCGCAGGCGGCGAUGCAAGCCAGGAGUGAAAGCCCGGGGCCCAACCCCGGGACUGCUUUUGGAACUGCGUGGCUAGAGUGCAGGAGGGGCAGGCGGAAGUCGUGGGGUAGCGGUGAAAUGCGUAGAUAUCAGGAGGAACACUGGUGGCGAAGGCGGCCUGCUGGACUGCAACUGACGUUGAGGCCCGAAAGCGUGGGGAGCAAACAGGAUUAGAUACCCCUGUAGUC
Molecule: ribosomal RNA, 440 nt
Filed under: uncultured bacterium
Lineage: Bacteria
Description: partial 16S ribosomal RNA
Rfam family: Bacterial small subunit ribosomal RNA
Source: RNAcentral